UUAAAAUGUUAAGUAUUUAUACCAUUUUCGAAAUUUUGACAGAAAUUACAAAGAAUACAAGUAGCGGAAAACCAAAAACUAUAGAAUAGACAGACAAAAAACAGCAAAAAAAAAAAAGGAAAACGUUAACCAAGAGCGGAAAUAAAACAAGAAACACUGAUUCUGAAAUGCCAAAAACAGAAAUUUGCGUGAUUUCCACACCGUCAAGUUGCCAAGAAAAUAGAGUCUCAUCCUAGUUGCAACGAGCAAAUCUUAAAAAGCCAGCCUUCAAAACCUCGGAAUAAGGCGCUUACAGCUUCUCCGCAAACUAACGCAAAAAUGCGAUGACUAGAAUAAACUGAUACGCAAAUCCGACGGUUACACGAGCAUCUACAAGCAACCAGAAAAAUCACAUUCGGUCACCAUUCCUAUUGUAAAC
This 418-nucleotide long non-coding RNA is filed under the name Capsella rubella. RNAcentral's name for it is "long non-coding RNA (CRUB_LNC002506)". Lineage: Eukaryota; Viridiplantae; Streptophyta; Magnoliopsida; Brassicales; Brassicaceae. The record is from RNAcentral.